UAACAGGAUUAGAUACCCUGGUAGUCCACGCCGUAAACGUUGGGCGCUAGAUGUGGGGACCAUUCCACGGUUUCCGUGUCGCAGCUAACGCAUUAAGCGCCCCGCCUGGGGAGUACGGCCGCAAGGCUAAAACUCAAAGGAAUUGACGGGGGCCCGCACAAGCGGCGGAGCAUGCGGAUUAAUUCGAUGCAACGCGAAGAACCUUACCAAGGCUUGACAUAUACGAGAACGGGCUAGAAAUAGUCAACUCUUUGGACACUCGUAAACAGGUGGUGCAUGGUUGUCGUCAGCUCGUGUCGUGAGAUGUUGGGUUAAGUCCCGCAACGAGCGCAACCCUCGUUCUAUGUUGCCAGCACGUAAUGGUGGGAACUCAUAGGAGACUGCCGGGGUCAACUCGGAGGAAGGUGGGGAUGACGU
This 417-nucleotide ribosomal RNA is filed under the name uncultured bacterium. RNAcentral's name for it is "bacterial SSU rRNA". It matches the Rfam family "Bacterial small subunit ribosomal RNA", at positions 770 to 1185 of the family's 1533-position model. The record is from RNAcentral.